GUGGGGAAUAUUGCACAAUGGGGGAAACCCUGAUGCAGCGACGCCGCGUGAGUGAAGAAGUAUUUCGGUAUGUAAAGCUCUAUCAGCAGGGAAGAAAAUGACGGUACCUGACUAAGAAGCCCCGGCUAACUACGUGCCAGCAGCCGCGGUAAUACGUAGGGGGCAAGCGUUAUCCGGAUUUACUGGGUGUAAAGGGAGCGUAGACGGAAUGGCAAGUCUGAUGUGAAAGCUGGGGGCUCAACCCCCAAACUGCAUUGGAAACUGUUAAUCUGGAGUGUCGGAGAGGUAAGUGGAAUUCCUAGUGUAGCGGUGAAAUGCGUAGAUAUUAGGAGGAACACCGGUGGCGAAGGCGGCUUACUGGACGAUGACUGACGUUGAGGCUCGAAAGCGUGGGGAGCAAACAGGAUUAGAAACCCUAGUAGUCC
This 425-nucleotide ribosomal RNA is filed under the name uncultured bacterium. Its description in RNAcentral is "bacterial SSU rRNA". It matches the Rfam family "Bacterial small subunit ribosomal RNA", at positions 354 to 796 of the family's 1533-position model. The record is from RNAcentral.